RNAcentral lists this ribosomal RNA (71 nucleotides) under Seriatopora hystrix (bird's nest coral). RNAcentral describes it as "partial 5.8S ribosomal RNA". It matches the Rfam family "5.8S ribosomal RNA", at positions 84 to 154 of the family's 154-position model. From Rfam's summary of the family: 5.8S ribosomal RNA (5.8S rRNA) is a component of the large subunit of the eukaryotic ribosome. The record is from RNAcentral. Lineage: Eukaryota; Metazoa; Cnidaria; Anthozoa; Scleractinia; Pocilloporidae.
GUGAAUCAUAGAAUCUUUGAACGCAAAUGGCGCUCUUGGGUUCUCCCAGGAGCAUGUCUGUCUGAGUGUCU